GAUGAACGCUGGCGGCGCGCCUAACACAUGCAAGUCGAACGGAGUGGCGAACUGCUGAGUAACACGUUGGCAACCUGCCCUCCUCUUGGGGAUAGCCUCGGGAAACCGGGAUAAUACCCGAUAGAGAAGGAUGGCCGGCGGCCUGUACGCUUUUUGGUGGGGUAGAGGCCGACAAAGGCAAUGAGGGGUAGCUGGGUUGAGAGACCGACCAGCCAGAUUGGGACUGAGACACGGCCCAGACUCGUACGGGAGGCAGCAGUGGGGAAUCGGGCACAAGGGGCGAAAGCCUGAUGCUGCGACCCCGCGUGCGGGACGAAGGCCUUCGGGUUGUAAACCGCUUUCAGCAGGGACGCGGUACCUGCAGAAGAAGCCCCGGCUAACUACGUGCCAGCCGCCGCGGUAAUAC
This 406-nucleotide ribosomal RNA is filed under the name uncultured bacterium. Its description in RNAcentral is "partial 16S ribosomal RNA". It matches the Rfam family "Bacterial small subunit ribosomal RNA", at positions 28 to 526 of the family's 1533-position model. The record is from RNAcentral.